Molecule: RNA transcript, 1239 nt
Organism: Cucumis sativus (cucumber)
Lineage: Eukaryota; Viridiplantae; Streptophyta; Magnoliopsida; Cucurbitales; Cucurbitaceae
Gene name: B3 domain-containing protein Os04g0386900
Exons: 4
Source: RefSeq, a predicted model, not a curated record
UUUGAUUUAUUUUAAAUUUAAAACAACCCUAAAAAUACAAAAGUUUUCCCUCGUUCAAACUCAAAAUAAGGAACUGAUUCACGUCAUCUCGCAAGAAUGAAUGAUCUGAAGAAAAUACGGCGACUGAUUGUCUCUCCAUCUGCUUCCUUCGAGCCCACAGGUUUUUCCCCCUACCUGUAAUCGGCAAUUCAUACGUUGUCCCAUUUGUAAGCUUCUGCAAGUGAUUUGUACUGAAAAAAGGUCCGCAGAUGCAGUCAGCAAGGAAACCUCCGACAGAGCUUCCAACAAUGGAGCCGCAAAAUGGAGAAACUAUGCCACUUUCGGGCAAACCCUACCAUGCUUUUAUUCUUUCUAAAUCGCAUGUUGCUCCCAUAUAUAAUUUGGUUUUACCGGCUAAAUUUCAUUCUAUUUUACCUGCUAUUGUCAUCCCUGCUGUUCUUUUAUGUCGAGGCAAGAAAUGGAAGAUAGAUUAUCAUGGAAACCGACGUGGUAAGGCACUCGAUUCAAAACAGUGGAGGAAAUUUGUUAAUGAUAAUUGUCUCAAAUCUGGAGAUGCUAUUGUAUUUGAGCUCUUGGAGUGCAGCAGCAGCAUACUUAAAUUUAGAGUUCAAAUUCUCAGUGGUGACAUACCUUUGGAGCUGCACGACAAGUUUAGUGGGGAGACAAAAGAGACUCCCAUACACCUUGACUAGCUUCCCUUUCAGUGGUUUCGUAGUUUUCUCAAAAGUCCUGACUUGUUGACAUCAUAUUGCGGCUCUAGAAUCAGACAGCCUAUUUGAUAAUUUAUGCAGUAGUUCUUUAACCAAGAUGGUUCUGGUGCUGCAAUGAAGUUGUGCUUCCUCAUGAGACGUGCAAUGCAUUAUGUUAUUUGUGUUCUUAUGCCAAAUGCACCAGGGUAUAUAGUUAACAUGUAGAUCCAUUUUUCAUUGUCAUGACCCACACAUCUUCAUAUUGUUGUUAAAUCUUGAAUCUCAAUCUGCUUUCCACUUUGUAUUUCUUCAACCUUCUGCUCUGAAAUCUAGAUUGCAUAAAUUGUCCCAACGUCAUCAUCGUUUUGCAUUGAUACAGCCAUUGUUUGGCAAUUGUUUCUAUUUUGAUGUGAGAACUUUCAGAAAUCUAGAUUGUCCACCGAUGCACGGUGACCUUUGUGUGUAGACAUUUUCUUUGAUGUGAUAAUGGUCAAGCCAUACAAUAUCACACCGAUUCCUUCAAUAAAAUCGUUUUUAUAUAAUGUGUUUA